Molecule: ribosomal RNA, 833 nt
Filed under: uncultured bacterium
Lineage: Bacteria
Description: bacterial SSU rRNA
Rfam family: Bacterial small subunit ribosomal RNA
Source: RNAcentral
CGAGCGAGCGGAACCAACAGAUUUACUUCGGUAAUGACGUCGGGAAAGCCAGCGGCGGAUGGGUGAGUAACACGUGGGGAACCUGCCCCUAAGUCUGGGAUACCAUUUGGAAACAGGUGCUAAUACCGGAUAAUAAAGCAGAUCGCAUGAUCAGCUUUUGAAAGGCGGCGUAAGCUGUCGCUAAGGGAUGGCCCCGCGGUGCAUUAGCUAGUUGGUAAGGUAACGGCUUACCAAGGCGACGAUGCAUAGCCGAGUUGAGAGACUGAUCGGCCACAUUGGGACUGAGACACGGCCCAAACUCCUACGGGAGGCAGCAGUAGGGAAUCUUCCACAAUGGACGCAAGUCUGAUGGAGCAACGCCGCGUGAGUGAAGAAGGUUUUCGGAUCGUAAAGCUCUGUUGUUGGUGAAGAAGGAUAGAGGUAGUAACUGGCCUUUAUUUGACGGUAAUCAACCAGAAAGUCACGGCUAACUACGUGCCAGCAGCCGCGGUAAUACGUAGGUGGCAAGCGUUGUCCGGAUUUAUUGGGCGUAAAGCGAGCGCAGGCGGAAAAAUAAGUCUAAUGUGAAAGCCCUCGGCUUAACCGAGGAACUGCAUCGGAAACUGUUUUUCUUGAGUGCAGAAGAGGAGAGUGGAACUCCAUGUGUAGCGGUGGAAUGCGUAGAUAUAUGGAAGAACACCAGUGGCGAAGGCGGCUCUCUGGUCUGCAACUGACGCUGAGGCUCGAAAGCAUGGGUAGCGAACAGGAUUAGAUACCCUGGUAGUCCAUGCCGUAAACGAUGAGUGCUAAGUGUUGGGAGGUUUCCGCCUCUCAGUGCUGCAGCUAACGCAUUA